Molecule: ribosomal RNA, 641 nt
Filed under: uncultured bacterium
Lineage: Bacteria
Description: bacterial SSU rRNA
Rfam family: Bacterial small subunit ribosomal RNA
Source: RNAcentral
CACAUGCAAGUCGAACGGCAGCACGGGAGCAAUCCUGGUGGCGAGUGGCGAACGGGUGAGUAAUACAUCGGAACGUGCCCAGUAGUGGGGGAUAACCCGGCGAAAGCCGGACUAAUACCGCAUACGACCUACGGGUGAAAGCAGGGGAUCGCAAGACCUUGCGCUAUCGGAGCGGCCGAUGUCAGAUUAGCUUGUUGGCGGGGUAAAAGCCCACCAAGGCGACGAUCUGUAGCUGGUCUGAGAGGACGACCAGCCACACUGGGACUGAGACACGGCCCAGACUCCUACGGGAGGCAGCAGUGGGGAAUUUUGGACAAUGGGCGCAAGCCUGAUCCAGCCAUGCCGCGUGCGGGAAGAAGGCCUUCGGGUUGUAAACCGCUUUUGUCAGGGAAGAAACGCUCCGGGUUAAUACCCUGGAGUAAUGACGGUACCUGAAGAAUAAGCACCGGCUAACUACGUGCCAGCAGCCGCGGUAAUACGUAGGGUGCAAGCGUUAAUCGGAAUUACUGGGCGUAAAGCGUGCGCAGGCGGCUUUGCAAGACAGAUGUGAAAUCCCCGGGCUUGACCUGGGAACUGCAUUUGUGACUGCAUGGCUGGAGUGCGGCAGAGGGGGAUGGAAUUCCGCGUGUAGCAGUGAAAUG